GUAGACGUAGUUUAACGAAAACAUCAGAUUGUGAUUCUGAAAAUAGGGACUAGUACCCCCUCAUCCACC
RNAcentral lists this transfer RNA (69 nucleotides) under Saurida eso. Its description in RNAcentral is "tRNA-His". It matches the Rfam family "tRNA". Rfam says of the family: Transfer RNA (tRNA) molecules are approximately 80 nucleotides in length. Their secondary structure includes four short double-helical elements and three loops (D, anti-codon, and T loops). Further hydrogen bonds mediate the characteristic L-shaped molecular structure. tRNAs have two regions of fundamental functional importance: the anti-codon, which is responsible for specific mRNA codon recognition, and the 3' end, to which the tRNAs corresponding amino acid is attached (by aminoacyl-tRNA synthetases). tRNAs cope with the degeneracy of the genetic code in two manners: having more than one tRNA (with a specific anti-codon) for a particular amino acid; and 'wobble' base-pairing, i.e. permitting non-standard base-pairing at the 3rd anti-codon position. The record is from RNAcentral. Lineage: Eukaryota; Metazoa; Chordata; Actinopteri; Aulopiformes; Synodontidae.